GGGGGCGUACUGGUUUCGACGGGAUUGUUGAAGCUGGAAUAGCGGGUAGAGGGUUCUCGUUGGCCUCUUUAAAAAACGAGAGUUAAAAAUAAACGCUAAUAACGAAAGUAAUUUCAGAUUAGCUGCUGCGUAAAUAACGCAGCCCGUCGGUCCGGGGUUCCUGCACCUCGGGUAGCCGGCGUCAUAAGUCAGGGAACCAGCCGGGCAAAGCUUUGAGUCCGGUGGGAUUUAUGAAGCUACCAAGUUAUAAAGCCUGUUCAUGGGCGUUAUAAUGAGGGAAUUAUAAAACAUGAACUGCACCCGGAGAAGUUCAUGUGGAUACGGUUUCGGACACGAGUUCGACUCUCGUCGCCUCCACCA
RNAcentral lists this transfer-messenger RNA (360 nucleotides) under Clostridia. RNAcentral's name for it is "DTU069 sp012730095 Standard tmRNA". It matches the Rfam family "transfer-messenger RNA". Rfam says of the family: Bacterial tmRNA, also known as 10Sa RNA or SsrA, is named for its dual tRNA and mRNA-like properties. Its role is to liberate the mRNA from a stalled ribosome. Lineage: Bacteria; Bacillati; Bacillota. RNAcentral also lists the same sequence under 1 other name. The record is from RNAcentral.